Long non-coding RNA from Ruditapes philippinarum (Manila clam), 522 nucleotides. RefSeq lists it as uncharacterized. The transcript is spliced from 4 exons. The record is from RefSeq and is a predicted model, not a curated record. Lineage: Eukaryota; Metazoa; Mollusca; Bivalvia; Venerida; Veneridae.
CAAUUAUCACAUCAGUAGAUUGCAGUUAUGAUAACAAUGCCUGUAGUGUUGAUGGUAAUAGUGAAUGUGAUACGAAUACCGCUAAAUGUGUUUGCAAACCUGAAUUUUCAGUUACUGGAAAUAAAUGUGAACCAAUUAUCACAUCGGUAGAAUGCAGUUAUGAUAACAAUGCCUGUAGUGUUGAUGGUAAUAGUGAAUGUGAUACGAAUACCGCUAAAUGUGUUUGCAAAACUGGAUUUUCAGUUACUGGAAUUAAAUGUGAUCCAAUUAUCACAUCGGUAGACUGCAGUUAUGAUUACAAUGCCUGUAGUGUUGAUGGUAAUAGUGAAUGUGAUACGAAUACCGCUAAAUGUGUUUGCAAAACUGGAUUUUCAGUUACUGGAAUUAAAUGUGAACCAAUUAUCACAUCAGUAGAUUGCAGUUAUGAUUACAAUGCCUGUAGUGUUGAUGAUAAUAGUGAAUGUGAUACGAUUACCGCUAAAUGUGUUUGCAAAACAGGAUUUUCAGUUACUGGAAUUAAAU